Molecule: long non-coding RNA, 105 nt
Organism: Poecilia latipinna (sailfin molly)
Lineage: Eukaryota; Metazoa; Chordata; Actinopteri; Cyprinodontiformes; Poeciliidae
Exons: 3
Source: RefSeq, a predicted model, not a curated record
UUCUGUAGAUUUUUUGACUCGGGGCAGCGUGCCGAUGUGUUCGCAUACACUUGAGCGCCCUUACGCUCUUUCACCUCGCACCCAUAACGGGGUAAAUGUAGCGAG